Long non-coding RNA from Macaca fascicularis (crab-eating macaque), 3882 nucleotides. The record is from Ensembl. Lineage: Eukaryota; Metazoa; Chordata; Mammalia; Primates; Cercopithecidae.
UAACUGAAACUAAUUGAAACUCUUUUACGAGCUCACGAAUUUGGGACAGUUUUGAUGCUAUUCAGUCUCAGCCGAGACAGUGAUUCUUCUGAAUAUAUCUAUAUUACUAGAACAUUACUUGCCAUGUACGGCACUGUUAACCUGUUGUAGAUACAAGCCCCAAUCAUAACCAUGGCUCAGGCAAGCUCUGAACCCAAAGGACCCGCCUGAAGGGAGAGGGGAGCAAGUAAAGUGUGUGAAGGGUGUUCUAGGCAGCCAGAAGCAGACAGUUGGCCACACGUAUACGACAGGUCAGGAGCUCAGCCUGAAUGGGUGAAGCUCUGGGGCAAGGCAAGGGUAUCUUGUAGCUGGUAAUUGGUAGAAAUCCAAGCACAGCAAAUGACCAAACCUGAGAAGGCCCAUCCGUCAGUGGUGUGGCUCCAUUCCCUGAGAUGGAAGGAUCUUGGUCAGCAAAGUGCAGCAAAGACUCAGGUGGGGGCAGAAAAAGCGGGAAGCCAGUUAUUAGCAGGAGACUGGGUAAAAAAUAAGGCAGAAUCCUACAUGCUGGAAAUGUAUUCUGAGGUCAGAUUGUUGUCCCACUCUGAGGACAGAGUGGAAGCAGUGUCAAAGCUGACAGUACUCCAAGGAAAAGCUUCUUACCUUCCUGACAAGGCAGAGGGUGGGUGUCUGAUUGUAGAGUGUAGGAGAAGGCCGAAUUUCCUAUAAGUCUGUGGGGUGAGGCUGGGGACAGAGAAGGGAAGAAAAGGAUCAGGGAAGGAAGGGGUUAAAUUAAGAAAGCUCAGGAGAUUGGGACACAAGCAAAACAUUACAGCUAUAAACUAAAAAUAAAAUCCUAAGCCUCCUAACCAACUGAACGGAUUCCAUCUUGGGCAAGAGAACCUCAGAGAAACCUGAAAAACUGAAUUCUUGGCCCUGAUGGGAAGGGAGAUUGGACAUGCCCUGUUAUUCUCUCUCUUUUGGAGUUUAGGCAUAACUGACCAGCAUUAAUGUUAAAAUAGAGAUCAUAAGACUGACAGAAUGGAUUCCUUUUUUUUUUUUUUUGACAGAGUCUCACUCUGUCACCCAGGCUGGAGUACAGUGGCGCGAUCUCGGCUCAUUGCAACCUCCGCCUCCUGGGUUCAAGUGAUUCUCCUGCCUCGGCCUCCCGAGUAGCUGGCAUGCACCACCACACUCAACUAAUUUUUGUAUUUUUAGUAGAGACGGGAUUUCGCCAUGUUGUCCAGGAUGGUCUCGAACUCCUGACCUCAGGUAAUCCACCUGCCUCAGUCUCUCAAAGUGCUAGGAUUAUAGGCGUGAGCCACCACACCCAACCCAGAAUGGAUUCUUGUUGCAAUAAGAUACCAAAUUGUAAACAAGACCUAAGGCCAUGCCGGGCAAGGAUUAAAGUCAUGCCCUACAAACCAUAAAAUCUUGUUAAAUGUUUUUUUUUUUAAAUUAACCUGGUAUAAUGUGGCUUAUUUUCCAACAUGACUCUGGUAUAGCAUCACGUGACAGAGAGCAGACCCCCUCAUCUUAACUUAAGCAUUCCUUUCUACUGACUUCAAGUCUUUAGAUAAGGCUUAACUCUUUCAACAAACUGUCAACUAAAAAAAUCCCUAAAACCCACCUUGAUUUGUAAGACCUGUCUUCAAAAUGUCCUGCCUUUUUGGACUGAACCAAGUAUUCCUUCCAUCUAUUGAUUUUUUAUUUUAUCUCCAAUUUCUGUCUCACUGAAACAUAUAAAACCAAACUGUAAUCUAACCACCUUGGACGUACUUUCUCAGGACUUCUUGAGACUGUUUUCCCUGGGCUUAGAAUAAACUUCUUUAAAAUAUAUUACAGAACUUGGUUUUUUUAUUAACACAGCAAAAAUUAAAAAAAAAAAAAAUCAAAAUCUAGAAAAAGGAAACUGCAUUGUCUCUAAACUCCCACCAACACAUUACUGUCAAAGACAUCCAGGAUAUGAAUUUCCUCCCUCUCAGUUCUCCAGCCCUCUGAGCAGGUUCAGGGAUGGUUUCUGCAUAAGGAACAAGGAGGCUAUGUGGUUUCUUGUGGUAGACCAGCACCCCUCGGCAGCUCUAGGAGCCUCUGUAAUUCAGCCCUCCUCUUAAUGUUACUGUCACCCUAGAUGCCAGUGCAGAGACUGGAGCUUCCAUGGUACUGCAGCCAAUUUUGUUAAAAGGAGCACUGAUUUUAGGAGAUUUACAAACAGAGGCAUCACUGUCCAUAUAUCUAUAAUAUACCAAAUUGGCCUCUUUUCUUUCCCUAGUGCCUCCAAACUUAUCAGUUCAUUCUUCUUCCCCCUUAAUAGGGAAGUCAGAGGCAUUUUCCCUUUGCCAUUAGUGUGGCUUCUGAAACUAUGAGCACCAUGAAGCUGUGAGGUCUCCUGGUUCCACCCCUGGUCUCACCACUCAUCCAUUCUGCUGUAUCCAUAAAGGAUGAUCCUGGUGUUCAGCCUCUGCUCCUACAAUGACACCCCAUUGUCAUAUCUUUGCUAACUUUUCCUCUUUUCUGGAAACUUCAAUUUUAGCUGCUCAUUUGCUUAAUUACCUCUAUCGCUGAUACUUACAAAAAGACUGAACAUGUAACAGAUGGUGCCUUGGGAUGGAUGGAUGUUAUGGAUGCAGAACUGUCAACACACCUAUCUCAAUUCCAUUUUAACUUUCACAUUAUGUCCCCCCGUGGACUGUUGGCAAUGAACUAAGCUGAUGUGUGCUGCCGGUGCCCAGAUUCACAUCGAGCUCAGUAAUUCUUUUUGCCUCCUGUGCUUCCUCCCACUCUCUCUCCACAGUAUGUUUGGCUUCCCAGUGCUUUUGUAAUGAUCUCUGUAGCAUCUUUAAAAACUAUUCCACCUCAUUUAAAAUGUAGUAUAAAUGAUGAGGUUUUGACAAAUUAAAUAACAAUAAGAAAACAUUUUCAAUAUUCUGUAUUUUUCCAUUAAGCUCCAAAAAAAAAAUAGCCAUUAAAAGAGCACCAUUCUCAACCCACAGUUAACGACGUGUUAGUCCUGGUUUCAUUAAACACCUCAUUAUUCAAAGACUUAUAAUUCAGUCCAAGAAAUCUCCUCUGAAGUUGAAAAUAAAUCUGAUCUCAGUUUAGAAACUUACUUUUACAGAAUUUGAAUUAAGAUUGAGUAUCCAAUGAGGGCACUGGUUAAUACAGAAAUGUCUCAGGAUAUUGAAAUGAUGGACCAAAAUCAACAGAAUGAAACUUAGCAUGGAUUAUUAUUGAAUGCUGUGUGAAAGCUGGAAAGUUAUAAAAUAGAAAGAGCAGAUAUUAGGCAUUUGGGAGUGAGGAGGCCUGACUUUGAUCCCGGCUCUGCUUCUAAACAGCUCUUUGACUAAGCUAUUUACUGGUGCUCUCUGGGACAAAGUUACCCCAUCCAUCUAAAGAAGACCUUUAAGACAGCUUCAGGAUCUUAAAGUGUCAAUUGAUUAUCAAGUACAGAUUUAAUUCUCCACUAAAAAAGACUAGGGCUCUUUGGAGAAGUGGCUAAUUCCAGGCUGGCAUAGUGUAGGUAAGUCUGGAGAAUAAUCUUGCUCUGCUAGAAAGUAAGGAAGUGCAAACAAACAAACAAAAAAAACAAGCAAAAACAAAAAACAACAACAAAAAAAGAAAAAUGAAAAACAGGAAAAACAGGGCACGGAAAAGGAUGCAAGAGCCAGCUGAAAGUGUUCUCACAGGUCAAGUUGGGACAAUUUGAGCACCAACAUAAUUAAAUAUAAUAAUAAAUUAUGAGAAAGAGAGCAAUUGAUAAAGCAAGUGGAGUAGAAUGUUAGCAACGGUGAAUCUGGGUAAAGGAUGUAUGAAUGUCCUUUUUUUUUUUUUUUUUUGAGAUGGAGUCUUGCUCUGUCGCCCAGACUGGAGUGCAGCGGCAUGAUCUCAGCUCACUGCCAGCUCUGC